RNAcentral lists this ribosomal RNA (213 nucleotides) under uncultured bacterium. RNAcentral's name for it is "partial 16S ribosomal RNA". It matches the Rfam family "Bacterial small subunit ribosomal RNA", at positions 1288 to 1500 of the family's 1533-position model. The record is from RNAcentral.
UCAGUUCGGAUCGCAGGCUGAAACCCGCCUGCGUGAAGUUGGAAUUGCUAGUAAUCGCGGAUCAGCAUGCCGCGGUGAAUACGUUCCCGGGCCUUGUACACACCGCCCGUCACACCAUGGGAGUUUGUAACACCCGAAGUCUGUAGUCUAACCGCAAGGGGGGCGCGGCCGAAGGUGGGUCCGGUAAUUGGGGUGAAGUCGUAACAAGGUAAC